CAAAAUAUAGCUUAACUAAAGCAACUUGCUUACACCAAGAAGAUUGCCCAAUAACUUCUGGACUAUUUUGA
Molecule: transfer RNA, 71 nt
Filed under: Eleutherodactylus bothroboans
Lineage: Eukaryota; Metazoa; Chordata; Amphibia; Anura; Eleutherodactylidae
Description: tRNA-Val
Source: RNAcentral